This 399-nucleotide ribosomal RNA is filed under the name uncultured cyanobacterium. RNAcentral's name for it is "bacterial SSU rRNA". It matches the Rfam family "Bacterial small subunit ribosomal RNA", at positions 187 to 601 of the family's 1533-position model. The record is from RNAcentral. Lineage: Bacteria; Bacillati; Cyanobacteriota.
AAUGUGCCGAGAGGUGAAAGCUUUAGUGCCUGUAGAUGAGCUCGCGUCCGAUUAGCUAGUUGGUAGGGUAAAGGCUUACCAAGGCGACGAUCGGUAGCUGGUCUGAGAGGAUGAUCAGCCACACUGGGACUGAGACACGGCCCAGACUCCUACGGGAGGCAGCAGUGGGGAAUUUUCCGCAAUGGGCGAAAGCCUGACGGAGCAAUACCGCGUGCGGGACGAAGUGCUUUUGGGUCGUAAACCGAUUUUGUUAGGGAAGAACACAAUGACGGUCCCUAACGAAUCAGCAUCGGCUAACUCCGUUGCCAGCAGCCGCGGUAAUACGGGGGAUGCACGCGUUAUCCGGAAUUAUUGGGCGUAAAGCGUCCGCAGGUGGUUUAUCAAGUCUGCUGUCAAAUC